GACAGUCUCGCUCGCCUCUCUCUCUCCCCUUUCCGACGGCCUCCCUGUUUCCACCCACUGCUCCGGCCGUCCCGGUCCAGCGGCGACGCUGGGGCUCGCCUAGGCAUGCCUCCUCCUGCUCCUCGAGGCGACAACGGCGACCACGCGCUCAACGACCCUGGUCCCCGCCCCCAUCGUCCUCCUCCGUGCUGCCGUGACCCAGCCCACCUCCUCCUCCAUCGUCGUCUCAUAGGUCGACGAGGAGGGCUUGGCUGGUGCGCCCUUAGGCCCGCGCUUCCGCGCCACUUCUUCUCCAGCUCCAACAUGGAGGUCAGCUAGGAGGGAUCAGCCAAUGCGACAUUGCCCCGCUGGCGGCCAAGGGCAUGAUAUGAACGGAAUCUAGGUUCUUCUUGCAGUCAGCGACAGCUAGAGUCGCUUUGAUGAGAAGUUGAGGGCGCAGGUACAAGGCAGCAGUAGUAGCACUUAGCCUCCAUCAGUGGCGGCAGCAGUACAACACCCUCCUAAUGUUGUAGCAAGUCACAGUGGCAGCGGCGGCCCAUGUCCCAGUGUUUGUUGAGCGCAAAGGGCGCGUUCUCCGGUUAGCAUCUUCAUUUGUGCCGCGGUUGUCUCAGUGAACUCGUUCUUCGAAGGUAGAGGAAGCAAUUCCAGAUUUUCCGGUGAUACAAAAAUUCGGUUACGGUUGUCGGCAGCACUUGCAAAGUGAUGAUGAGAGGACCUUUGAAAUUCCUGAACCGUGAUGAGGAUGACGUCCUGGGCAUGGCAGAGCUGAAGAUUCAGAAACUCAUGCUCGAGCUCUGCUUCAUGCUAGGUUUCCCGCCAGAGCAAGCCGAACCCAAUCUGAGCCAUUGAUUUCUUAUCUUUCACUCAUAUCCACCCUCCAUCAGACGCUGAUCCUCUAGAUCCAACGGCUGUUAUUUCCCGGAUUCGCAGCACCUCUUUCCACAUGUAUUGUGCCCGAACCAGCCCGCACCUUCGAGAUAGCUCCUGACGUGACUCACUAUAUAUGCCGCCAGCCAAAUUUGAAUCCAGCAUGUUCGCGGAACACUUCCUGGACAGCAUACACGAGCCAGCCCGCCAAACGCUAGGCAUCCACCUAUUCUCUACACACAGCUAGCGAUUGCAUGUUCCUGCUUUACUUCCAUCUGCAUCUAGCAUGUGGGAUCUACUCUGGGAGGGAGCGGAACUGCAUAGGCAAAAGUGUAGCAGUUCAAAUUUGGAUUCACUACUUCGUUCAUAAUUUUUCCGCCAAAACACCUCUGGAGAUACCACAAUCGUUGAUGUUGCUCAACCGGCAGACAUGCAUCUGCCAUUCAUCACGCACCAUCGGAUGGAAGCUAAUGCCAGUAUUCAUUGGAUUCAUCGUUCCUAUACGCAGUGCAGCGCCUCGGGACGAGAAAUGUCUAGGAGAGAAGAAGAAGGCCAAGGAGAAAAUAGGCCAAGAGGACCAGACCAAGAAGUGUUGGUAAUCGAAGGGCCCUUCCGAUGUCGCUGUGCUAUCUAUUCCGUCGUGAUCACGAUGAGCUACUAAGUCCUAUUGUGGUGGUUCUGGAGAUGGAGUUGACUUGAGGCUGCAAUGCAGAGGAGCAUGACGAGCUGCCGAGGAGCGGAGAGCUGCAGAGGAUCAUUGCGAGGUGCCGUGAAGCCAGCUAGAUUGCUAGGUGAAGGUUUCUACAGUGAACUUGUUUCGAUUAUCAACUAGUUUGGAUUUUCUGUGUUUGCAUUUGCUUGGGUUGGCUUUGAAGUUCUAUGCAUGGUUUGUUUGAGUUAUAUCUAUGUACUUUUAUUAGAAGAUGGUGUUUUAUGCU
Lolium perenne is the source of this 1805-nucleotide non-coding RNA. Lineage: Eukaryota; Viridiplantae; Streptophyta; Magnoliopsida; Poales; Poaceae. The record is from RefSeq and is a predicted model, not a curated record.